UGUGGAAGGAAGAAUGUCGAAUGCAUUGCGAGUCAUCACCAACAGAGGGAUACUGAGCAGCAAGGCCUUCCUUUCUCAGCUGACAAUUUGUCUGGAAUCAUCUCCUUUGUUUUCCUGCUCCCUAAGUCAGGGAAGAAAAGAAAGCCCUGGUGAUCAACAGACUUCUGACAAAGAAAAGCAGAGAGGUGCCAAGGAGACAGCAACACACAUGCAGUCAUGCCUCACCUGAAGGAAAGGGACAGACAGGCAAGAAGUGAGUUUCCAAUAUCUGAAGGAAGGAAAUGUCAAGUGCAUAAGGGAUUGGUGUUCCAUUGGGAAGGACUUGGGUGCCUGUGGAGACAGUGAUAUCAUCAAAAUAUGAAGACACCACAUGGUUCUUGUAAGACUGUCUCUCCCAAACUCAUCCACUAUUCAGGAAGGUCGAGCUCUUGACAAGCAGAUGCAGAAGGGAAAGCCUUCUCCACAUGGAAAGAUGAAAGUAUCAUAUCAAGAGGAUAUGAAAUAUACUUAAAAAUGCAAGUACCUCAGAAGUGUGGAAACUCUAACAUUUGAGCUGUUUUAUUAUAUCAAUACAAUUUUCCUUAGUAUUAGAACAUAUUUUCCUGAUUAAUUCUUAGUGAAAUUCAAAACAGUUUUAAAAAUAAAUAUUAGUGAACUUAAGGGAAAGUGCUGCUGGUCAUAAGUAAUGUUAUAUAUGAAAUUGUCAGAGUGGAAAAUAUGCCCCUGUUCAUCCAGCCAUAUACAUUUUGAGAGACAAUAUUUUCACACAAUAAUUUCAGAAUUUUUAUAAUAAUACGCAAAUUGAUUAAUCAAAAGAACAUAAUAUAGCAGAAAACAUAGUACUAGUUAAUGUAUCACACAAGUUCAAAUGUUUUGCUGUGUUUUUCUGCUUGAAACAAACUUUACAUACAUUUUUAAACUUUUCUUAUGAAAUAACUUAUUCUGCCUUACAUACUCCAGUAUCAGCAGCAUUCUAUUUUUUCAGAUAUGCACGUUCUUGUUCUUUCACUUAUAUUCUCUUAUUUAUAUAACUCUAUCCCAUAUUUCCAAGAGUGUUAUUAUUUAUACCUUAUAUUACCUGAUUGCUAUUUUCUAAUAAUUGAAAAUUUCUAGGUUAUGCCAAAUUUCAUGCAUUUCUUCCUUUUUUCUACCUUUCGGUGCUAAUGCUGAAUGAACACAAUGAGAAGAAUAAGGAAGACUCCCUGCAAUAUACACUACCUCAGAGGACCAGCAGCAGCUCCACCAUGAGAAGACAAGACUGGUCCUCAUUACACUUCCCCUCAACACAGCAGGGGCCACUGAACUGAAGGGAGACUGAAACUGUCAACCAAAAUAAGAUCUUAGUCCUUUUGAAGUCAAUAAUCUCAGGUGUUUUCUCCUGGCAAUAGAAGAUUGACUGAUACGGAAGCUUAGCUCGAAUAUGAACGAAAACAAAUGAUGUUCAAAAACACUGAGUUAUGUUUUCACAGCCUUCUAUCACUAGAAAGCAUUUUAAACAUCAAGGGAGACAAAGGACAAGGAGGGGAAGAGGGCAUGUGGAAAGUGAGCCCAAGCAUUGGAAAGAUGACACAGAUGGAUCCUCAGAGUUGGUUAUCCAGCUCUCCCCCCUACAGGUUGACCCUAGUGAGAGACCCUGUCUAUCGAUCUGUAAACAAACAAACAAACAAACAAACAAAUAAAUGUGGAAGUCACUUG
Peromyscus maniculatus bairdii (prairie deer mouse) is the source of this 1695-nucleotide non-coding RNA. Lineage: Eukaryota; Metazoa; Chordata; Mammalia; Rodentia; Cricetidae. The record is from RefSeq and is a predicted model, not a curated record.